UCAGUUUCUCUGUUCCUCAUAAUUGGAGGAGGGCUAUGAUCUACUGGCCUUACAACUAAGCCAAUGGAAGGUGCCUCACUCUUGAGACCCGCCAGUGACGCAUUGAUGUUCUUAAUCUUUUGUGCCAUCUUUUGACGAAAUAAAAUGGGAUUGGAAAGCGAAAAGAAGUCAAGUACCUUCUUCUUCAUGUGGUUUUGAAUUUCUACUUUACGCCGGAGAACGUCGUAGUUGAUGUCCUCCAAGACGUCAUCGGCAUCGUGAGCUACGUCUUUCAGUUUCUUGACCCAGUUUCUGACUGCCAUGCUCCGAUCCUGUGGUUGGUGGGCAACAUCGCCUAAGUACUGUUCAAUUUCCUCUAACGAUACAGCAAGCUCAGUUGCUUCUUUUUUAAAAUCCUCGGAAAAGACAGAUUUCUUGAGCAGCAAGCGAACCGACCGACUUCAGUAUUCCCUCCACCGGAUAAGUGAUGAGACCUUGUAGCACAUCCAUACUCGCGCGAGAAAGGGAGAUUAGAGAGUAGAAAGCAGAGAACUGAGAGAAAGCCAAGGAAGGACACAAGAAGAGCGAAUAAGAUGAAUGAAAGGCUUAACAAUAAUUCAAGAAAAUGUGGUAUAAGAAGAAAGGACCCCUUAUAAUUGACGCCACUUACCUGUGAGCGUCAACAUAAUGUUCAAGAGCAAUAUUAACCCAUCUUAUCAGCAAAGAUUCUUUCUACAACUUUAGUAAAUAGUGGAGGCGGACUUUGAUUAGUCAAUAUUUAUUGGUCUUCCAUGGAUUUUUGUCAGGACUUAGUACUGGUGACUAUUCAACCCUACCCGGUCCUGUCACUUCAUCUUCUACAUGAUUUCGCGUAGGCAGUGGUAUUUACACAUUUAACUUUACUUUUCAUUCUUAAUUUUACUGAAUGAAUUGAAAAAGAAUAAUUAUACAAAAUUAACAAAAAUGUGUCAGAAAUAAAAAUGAUUGUGUGAAUAAGACUUUCACAUAAAAUGUGUUUUCUUUUACACAAUCGAGCUAGAAACUUGUCUCUUACACAUCGAAUUGACUAUGGUAAACCUAAACCUAACGACAAAAUGCGGUAGCUAUUACGAUCAAACGCUAGGAAUUCGUCUCCAACCCUACACAUAUCUGAUAAAGAGCGAUUAAAUUGGUCUUGGUUUUAGCAGUUUAUACAUACGUCAAAUCCAACGAAAUCAAACCAAACUAAUUAUAGUUUGAUUUAGUUCAACCUAAAAUUGCAUUUUUUUUUCAUUAUAAAAGUCAUACCAAACUUCUUAGAUUGAUUUUUAUACAACGAUAUAUAUACAGAGAUAAAAGUUAAAUCAAAACUUUUUGGAUUGGGGUGUAGUAUAAAUUUGUAUUGAACUCUUCAUUCAUGAAUUUCAAACUUAAGACCUAUUAUUUAUAAGUAAAGAAAAUUAUUGUUAGAUCAUAAUAUUAAAUGACACCCUCUUGGAUGGUUUAGUUUGAACAGUAUUUUCAUACAACGAUAUAUUUACGUUAAAUUGAGAUAAAAUGGACAAGAAUACUCUCCGAAUCUCUAUUUAGGAACUUCCACCACUAUCUCUGAGAGCUUAUUUAAAGAUUUUAAAGAAAUAUUUGGGUCUUUAAAAGAAUAUUGUUUUUUAUGAAAAGUUCUUAUAGUGUAAUCUUCAGAUUAAUAUAAAAACUAAAAUAUUGAAAAAUUAUUAUUCAUGGAUGAAAAAACCUAAAAAAAUAUCUCUACCCUUAGUUUUUCAACAAUUAAAAAAAAAUUACGUGAAAAACCAAAAAUGAAAAUUUCACGUGGGUGGGAAUCGUGGGAUCAACAAACAAGGUAAAAGACAAAAAACCAACUGGUGUGGGUCACUUUUCUCCAAAAUCAACAGAGGCCCACUAUACAAUUUUCACAUUUGAGAUUUUCUUUUGAAGUAUUUAGCGAGUUUUUAUCAAGGAACAAAAUGCCGAUAAUAUCGGUGAUAUUUCGCCGAUAUUAUCGGUUUUUCAGGGUACCGAUAUUUUAAUAGGUAUCCAAUGGGUUUUCGUCAAAAUAUUGCGAUAUUUCCGAAACUAUCGCGAUAUUUUGGAACUGUGCUACUCGGAGAAGAACGCCGGAGCUUCUACAGCUCCGGCCGAUUACAAACGCAAACCUUAGACUCCGAUCUAAUUACCAACGUGAAGAGGAAAGAGAGAGGAGUAAGUUUAUACCCUUGGUUCGCCGUGAAAUGGCUGAAGGUUUUCGGAAAGCUCCUUAACAGUCACGGGUUCGCCGGAGUUGGGUGAGCUUUCCCUUGACCUGAUCUCGUUCCAUAACACACACAUAAGCUUACCUAACUGGAGAAAAUGAAGAAAACUCACCGGAGGUUUCUGGGUUUCGUCAAUCUUGCAGAGACAAGAGGAAGAGAGAGAAAGACGAGGUUUUGAUGGUGAUGCCGUCUACGGAACGAUGGUGUGGGUGCCGUGUACUAGGGUAAUCAUGGGAGAAAGAGUGAGAGUGAUGAGAGGGUUUCGAGAGAGAAGAGAGUGUGCAGAGAAGGAAAGAAAGAGAAGAAGAAAGAAAGGGGGUCUCGGGUAGGAUCUGGUUGAUCUCGGUGACGAUGGUGAUGAAGCCAGAGGAGGAAGAGGAGGAGGGAAGGCGGCGGAGGGAGAAGGAGUAGGAGGAAACGAAGAGGGUUUUGCAGGGGCGGAGAUUGCGAAGAGGGAGAUGAGGGCGAUGAGGAGGAGGAGGGAUCGUUUACUCGUUCUCUCUGUCUUCUCUUCUUUCUCGUUUCAAUUGGCAAUUUAGGGAUUUAAGCAAGUUUUAGGCCCCCAAAUCAUCUACUUAUAUUGCCCUAAAAAACUCCAAGUAAUUACAACAUCGUAUUAGAAUUGUAAUUGAUCCUUGUUAGAUUUGGUUUAGAAAUUCUAUGUAAUUUAGUGAUUGUUUCAUAUUAGGUUUAGAUUUGAAUUUUUUACUCCAUUCAGAUUUUAAAGGAUUAUAAUAGAUUUAAAAAUUUAUGAAUUUUGAUGAAGUUUAAUAAUUUUUAAAACUUUUAUGUAAAAUUUUAAGUGAAUUCCCUCAAAUUUUCAGGGAGCGAUUUGAGAAUGUUUAAAAUAUUAUGUGAAAUAUUUCUAAUUUUUUCGAGUUUCCCAACUUUUUAAAAAUCUCUUCGAAUCAAUUUCUAAAUGAAUACAUUUGGAAUGUAUGAAUAUCUUAAAAAUCAUGAUCGAAUACCCAAAAAACUUUAAAGAAUCACUUAAAAUCCUGAUUAAAUACCCUUAGAUUUUUAAGGAGAAUUAAAAUGUUUAUAAGCCCCAAUUGGAUGUACCGCUUAAUUUAACUAAUUGACACAACACAACAAAACUAGUUAAGAUUACAAAUUAACACAAAAGACGACUUGAUGCGAGGUCAUAUCUAAAAAACUUGCCGCAAUAAGCCCCAAUUGGUGUGUUUAAACUUCUUUCAUUAAUUACUACAUAUUUUCUACACUCACAUGUUUGUCAGCUCGCUAUAUAAUCAACUUGAUAAUGUUAAAUCCAUCAUGCAAUGCAUUUCCUUCCAAUUUUUUGUGAUAAACUAAUAGAUAAUUGACUAAAUAAACAUCCUGCAAAGUUUUUCAAUAAAAAAUUUCCAAGUUUUUCUUACAAUUUUCGUGGUUUCCAUGUAAUUUUUAUCGAUAUCGAUAUUAUCCCGAUAUUUCCAUCGAUUUUCCGUGUUUUCGGACUACCGAUAUUUCCGAUAUUACCGAUAUUUAAUACCUUGGUUUUUAUAUAGGGAGUUUUAACGAAAAACCCACGGUACUGUUCACUUUAACGAAAAACCACAUUUUUACACUAAAAAGUCAAACCUGGUACUAUUCACUUUACCUUUUAUUUUGUCCUUAUCAUUAAAACUCAAAGUUUUCAAGCUUUUUUCAUUAGUUUUCCUUUUUAUAUAUUUGAAUAUUUUUUGACAAAAAAAAUAUUGGAAUAUUUUAAAGACUUUAUUUUCGACUCUUUAAAUACUUUUUGUCUUUAUGUUUAGAGAUUGUACUAUUAUAAAGACUUUGUUUAGAUUCUCUAUUGGAGAUGUUCAAACAUGACAAAAAGGUGAAAGUAGAGCAAGACCACAUAAAUAUAAAUUCAUCUUAUCUGUAAUCUCUUUCGACAACUUUAGAUGAUAGUGUAGACCCAACUUUAACAAAGUAAAUUAAAGAUAUUUAUUAAAAAAUAAUAACAACUUCGUUAGUACAUUCAAAAGUGUAUGUAUGAUAAGAAGAUCCUAAGUAUUCGUUUUUCAGUACUAACGAGAGUCAUCAGAUUGAAAUACCUCCAAGUAAUUGUAAACGAUUCGAAUUCACGGAACAACUAUACAAAUUCAACAUAUGUCAUUUGGUUUCCAAGUUGAUCACUACGUGUAUUUCAAUCAAGGAUGAAAAAAUCGAUAAUAUCGGCGACAUCGUUUUUUUGAAGUUCCGAAAUUUUUUUAACUAUCCAACCUAUUUUCAUCAAAAUAUCGCGAUAUUAUCGAUAAUACCAAUAAUAUCGCGAUAUUAUCGAUAAUACCAAUAAUAUCGCGAUAUUUUCGAAAUUAUCGACAAUAUCGUGAUAUUUUAUUAAAAAAAUACUUAAAUAUGUUGAGAAAACUCAACACAUAGUUAACUUGAUCAUGGCCCAAAGGCCAAACAAGUUUUGGUUAUCUCUCCAGGGAAGUGAGUUUUAUAGCAAAAAUUCAUUUCUCACUUCCUUGCAUGGGCGAUGUGGGACUCGCCCAAUGGGGGAAAAAAUCAAAAUUUCGGCCGAAAUUUUACACUCACUUUAAACGGCCAUAACUUUGUCAAAACUCAACGAAAUCAAGCAAGACAAAAACUAAAGUUGUAGCCCUCGAAGAGACUAAGAGAAUGGUACCUCACACUAUGUCUUAAUCGUAGUGGUUUGGCCGGAAAAUGCCUCGAAAGUCACUGAGGUCGCUGAGGUCGUCGGAAACUGGGUAAGAUUCAAAUGAGUAUAACUUUUUCAAUACGCAACGAAAUUGAGUGAAACAAAAAGGAAAGUUGUAGCCCUCGAAGAGACGAAGAUAAUGGUACCUCACACGAUGUCUGAAUCGUCGUGGUUUGGCCGGAAAAUUCCUCGAAAGUCACUGAGGUCGCUGAGGUCGUCGGAAACUGGGUAAGAUUCAAAUGAGUAUAAUUUUUUCAAUACGCAACGAAAUUGAGUGAAACAAAAAGGAAAGUUGUAGCCCUCGAAGAGACGAAGAGAAUGGUACCUCACACGACGUCUGACUCGUUGUGGUUUGGCCGGAAAUUGCCUCGAAAUCUACUGAGGUCGCCGGAAACUGGGUAAGAUUCAAAUGAGCUUUUUCAAUACGCAACGAAAUUGAGUGAAACAAAAAGGAAAGUUGUAGCCCUCGAAGAGACGAAGAGAUUGAUACCUUGCACGUCAGCCCAAAAUUCAAAUUGACACACUCCUAGCUUCCAAAAUUCAAUACUUUUUACUUUAUAUCAAGUUGAAAAAACAUAAUCGGCAUCCAAAUUAAAGUUUAAUCUUAUUCAAUGUAUUGAUUUUCAAUCGUUAAUUGAUAUACUAUAAUUUGGAACUUCAACGCCUAGACGCAUGCUUAUGUGUAAGAAAUUUAAAUUGUCAAAUUCGGCACAUUAUUCUUCAUCAUUUUAUUCACUUCCCUUUUUUUUUUUUUUAAUAUCCUAAAUAAAACCUCCAAAUAUUGUACUAAUUAAUUAUAUAUAAAUGAUUAUGGUGUGUUUAAACUUCUUUCAUUAAUUACUACAUAUUUUCUACACUCACAAUGUUUGCCAGCUCGGUAUAUAAUCAACUUAAAUCAGUUAAAUCCAUCAUGCAAUGCAUUUCCUUCCAAUUUUUUUGUGAGAAACUAAUAGAUAAUUGACUAAAUAAACAUCCUACAAAGUUUCAUUAAAAAUUUCCAAGUUUUUCUUACAAUUUCCGUGGUUUCCAUGUAAUUUUUAUCGAUAUCGAUAUUAUCCCGAUAUUUCCGUGUUUUCGGACUACCGAUAUUUCCGAUAUUACCGAUAUUUUCUUCCUUGCUUUCAAUAAUAUCUUGUUUAGAAUUUGUUUGGAUUUGCAGAUCCUCCAUCUUCUAACAUAGAGGAAAUUUCUCCAACACUGCCUUCCUUGUAAUUGUUGUAAUGAGAUGCGUUGUUGUUUUCAUGGGGCAGGUCCUAAUGAAUCCUAUAGCUAUUGGACCCCAUCCCACUUGUGUUUGGCAUCGGUGGCACCAUUGUGUUUGGCAAUCAAUGCAAAAUUACGUACAAUAAUUUAAGUAUCAAACAAAAUGUAAACUUCAUUUUGAACAUAUGGAGUAGGGUUUGUUGCAAGUAUAUUAUUGGAGAUCGAAUAAUGACAUGAGACUAAUAAUAAUUUCUGGUGUAAUUUGUUAAUUUUCUGAGUAUUCCACUGACUUUUUGGAAGGCUGGCUGGUGGAGGAAGCUGCUUUUAGCUUUUUAUUACUUCUUGAAACUACCCGCUUCGGAUUUGAAUUUACCAAAAGCAACUUUCAGCUGUUAACUGCAAUUUAUGCAGCUGAUAAGAGAUAUAACCCACUCUACACCUCGUAACGAAAAAAAAAACCCUUCUAUAGACACUUUGAUCACGUCAUCUAUAGAGUUAUUUAGUGUAAGAGCUUUUCUAAUACGUUGAAACUCAUUUUCAAGUGAGAGACAUCAAAUUUGACUCACAUAAAUAGUAAAUUUGAAAACAUUUUUUGUCGAAAAAAAAUAUGUUUGUUACUUAAUUGUUAUAUGUUGGAUGUCGAGUUUCUAUUAGAAAAUAUUUCUUGUAUAUAAAAGGAAAACAAUUUUAAUUUCAUUAUGUACACAUGUCAAUAUCACUGGCAAUUUGACCAAAUGGCUACUAUUUGGUGUUUUAACUGCAAAUGCAUGAAAUCAGUGAGAGAUUUUUCAAUGUGAUCGAUACACAAAAUAAUAUAUCACGUGUCACUAUAUAAAUUUUUAUGUAUGUUAAAAAGUUAAUAACUUAAAAAAUAAAAUUUCUCACAAAUUCUAUAAAAACAUGUGAUGUACCAUUCGUGUUCCGAUCACAAUGAAAAAUUUCUCGAAACCUUCACGCUUGCUUCCUCAAUCACCAACAUUGACCAUUCUCUCUUUCCCAUUAAAAAAAUUAAUAAAUAUGGCGUCAGUCAUACAAAGUCAAGCUUUCUAAACUCUUUUAUGGACAGAUGCGGAUUUUAGGGUUCAAAGCUUAACCAACGGGUAAUUCGGAUCAUUUAACUUGAUUUUAAUAGUACUAAUUAACUCAUUCUGCUGCCUCAUUUUACGCAAUCUAAAGACUUCAACGUCUUUUGGACCUAAAUUUUCUGGUCCUUAGGCUCUGAACCCUAAUGUCAGAAGGGGAACAAAUUCCUCUUUAUUAUCCAUCUGUCAAAUAUUCAACUGUUUGCUUUUAGCUCGUUGUCCUAGUUUCUAUAUUCCUCAUCCUCCUCUAGCUAGCUUUUAGAGUCCGGCAUCCGAAUCACAUGUCCAUGCGGCCCUAGACACAUUAAAGCUUCCCUACUCCAUGUAAUGACUCCACUCCCCUCUCCCUCCACCUUCAUGGCCCAACACCUUUGGGUUUCGGACAAAAUAAUUUAUACAUCUAGAGAGGUUCUUGUGUCUGAAACCCCAGCUAAGUUUAAUAGAGGAGGUGGGAUCAUAAUUUGGUGUAUCGUGGGCCACACAAUCAGGGAGAUAUACUGCUUUUUUAGUGUCCAAGUCAUAGGGAUCAGGUGGAUUGGUUGCUCUAAACUAGAAUUUUAUCCUCAAUUUGACAAAUUAACAAUGGCUAAUUGGCUAUGCCGCUCCCUCUCUAUGUUGUUAAUAGUGUCAAUAUUGUCCCGUUACAUCGAUUGAAGAAAAACCCAUAUCAGGAAUAAUAUGUAUAAACAAAAUAUGAUGCUUUAUUUGAGAAUUUAUUUGAGAAUCAUGGCCUUGGAUGAGUUUACGAUAGAUAAAUACCACAAAGUAUAGAUAGUCAAAAGUUCAAACAUUAUUGACGGAUGGUGAAUGUGAAUGAUAAUUCAAGAGUAGUGAGAAAGAUGAUUGGUAUUUAGUCUUUGGUCACUAUUAUCUUGAAAGUUGAUGACCAAAAUGACAACUGCCUCCCCUUCUUUUGGCUGCAACAGCAGAAAUAGGAUGCUUACAUGGAACCGGCAUUUGUGGAAUAUGAACAUCUGGAAAUUACUCCACUACGUAAGACAAGAUCAUCACUUUCUGUGAUUGCAGGUUGGCCAGUAAAACUCUAAACAUCAAUUUUUUUUCAUUCAACCUUUGAUAAUUAUAGUACCUGCAGACCAAAUAAAGUAAUCAUAGAUCACUCACUGCUCAUAGAUUUGUUUUUUUUUUUUAAAUCAAAAUUCUAAGAACACGAAAUAUGAACAUACUCAGGAUCGAGAUACCCUGCUGUGCUCAUGACCGAAGCCACCACGAGUUUCACUGUCACUGGGAAAAGCCAUGGACAGACCGAGAUCUGCUAUUUUUGCGUCCAAGUUUUCACUUAAGAGAAUGUUGGCAGUAUUUGCGUCUCUAUGCACAAUACGUGGAUUGCACCUUUAUGCAAGGAAAUAGUCCUGUGAGCCAAAUUUCACAAUAUACAUAAGUUGAAUUAGGCAUAUGAACUUGCGCAAGUAUAUUAGCGUACGAAAUAUCACGAAGCACCAACCUAACGCAAUAUCUAGUGUUAUCCGAAGUCUCAUUUCCCAAGUCGCAUGUGACCUUCUAUCUGCAUUUUUAGCCAUUGACGUGACACUUCAAUAUUUUGAAACCCUCUGAUGGAGGACAAUGCUUAUAAAAUAUAGAACUACACACCUGAGAGAUAUUCUUUUAGGUUUCCUUUAGGCAUGUACUCGUAUGUAAUAUGAGUACCAGGUAGUAUCAUCACAGUAUCCAAUAAAUGAGGCCAAGUUUCUAUGAUGUAUUCUCAUCACGAGCUCAACCUGCAGCAACAAGGAACACAUCAAUCUCUAACCAACGAGACAAGGCACUUGCAAUUCCAAGGAAUUUAAAUCCUAACUGCCAAACCUCUGUUUGGAACUCCCUAGCUCCUUGAGUUGACGAUGGAGAAAGUAUUUUAACCGCAACUUGAGUGCCAUCUUCCAAGUAGCCAUGGUAUACAAUCCCAAGUCCUCCUUUCCCAAUUUCAGUUUGAAAGUUUUCGGUGAUUUCUAAAACCUCGUCGUAAGUAAACUGGGACUUCAUUGAUGCUACUGGUGUGCUACAGGUGUUUUGUUAUGUUUUUCUCCAUCUGCAGCUUAAGGACAAAAAGUUAUGAGUGCAGGCUAACUGCAUAGGAAUACCACAACGCCAUAGUAGCAGCGCUGUUUCUAACUAAAUAAGUAUCAAGGGUAUAAAAUGGUACCUGGUUUUCUUAUUCUUCUCAGCUUCCAGACCAGUAAGAGCACUAUAACUUGAAGAAGGGCCAUUGUUGAAAGUAAUGAUCCAAGUAUUGUUCAAAGUAAUGAUCCAAGUAUUGGAACAACAAUGAUCUUCUUGUACUUGCUUGAAUCUGAGCUAAAAAGAACUUAUCAGCAGAUAGAAAAUAUAAAUCUGAAGGACGCAAUACCAUUCGCUUUCGUUAAAGAAAAUGCUAACCUAUUCAGCACUCUCCAUGAACGAAACUUGCACAAAGCAGUAGGACGAGGAAACCAGUUGAGAUCUUCAUCUCUCUGUCUCAUUGCAGCCUAUGAACUACCUGGUAUUUAAAAUGUGUGACAAUGUCCCGACCAAAAAAACAGAAAAACGUAUAUGACAGUGUGGAUUUGUAACCACAUGCCGCACAACUUGCAGAGUACAUACGUGAUCCUUAUUACAUGGGGAUGCUUAGUCUACGUCAAUCAAAACCUUCCCCAGAAAACUAAAUCCCUAAUAUCAGAAUUUCAAAAACCCUAACCCUUGGGAUCCUGCUGACAGCGCUGGGGCUGGGCUGACGGUGCUGGGGUGACGGCAGUGGGGUGAUGGCGGUGUGGCGACGAUGUUGCUCCAAGCGGUGGCGUGGCGACCAGACCGGUGUUCUGGGCUUCUGGGCUUCUGGCGCGCGAGAGAAGAAGAAGCAAGAAGGCAGAAGGCAGAAGGCAGAGGUAGACGAAGGCGAUCGAAUUCGAAGGUAUGGUAUGAAGACUGAAAAUCCUUACCCAAACGGCGUUGUUUUGGGUUUGGAUGGUUUUCAAAAAACAAAAAAAAGGGUAUGACAAGGCGCCUGGACGCCCUGAGGCGCGCCUCCGCCGCCUCGGCGUCUCCGGCGAAGCAUUUCGCCUACUCCAGAAAAACUGAGGCGUUUGCCUCACCGCCCAGCCUCAAAGGCGCCCUAGGCGCGCCUCGAGGCGAGUUCUUUAAAACAUUGCUUAGAACUUAUUCGAAUGCACAUUGGACGUUAUAACAUAUACAGAAUGACCACGGAUUCGUAAACAGUUGCAAAUGUACUUCUAUUUACUCAUAUUUAAGGACCAAAAAGCUUAAUUUCCACAAAAGUCUAAAGUGCUGUUCCAAAAAGAUUGUGAAAGCAAAGAAAUUAAUGUUCUUCCACGAGGCUAGAAAGUGUAUGACUUUGCAAACUAAAUGCAACUAAGACAAAAGAACAGAACCAAUCACGAAUUACUGUUUCGGGAAAGAAACCUACACUUGACUGUAUGAAAUGCGGGAAAUCUUGGGCCAGUCGAGCAGUUGCUUCUUUUAAUUUAGAACACAACAGUAAAAUUUGGACUGGCUUCCCUACUGUCGAUAGAUACUUCAGGUUCCCACAACGGUGAGCAGAUAGAUCAUCGACACAUGUAAGGUCCCAUCAUCACUCUGGUAAGACCCUUCUGAAUCAAGUGCCAUUGUUGAUAGUAAUGAUCCAAGUAUUGGAACAACAAUAUUCUUCUUGAGCUUGCUUGAAUCUGAUUUAAAAAUAACUUAUCAGCAGACAGAAAAUAUAAAUUCUGAAGGACGCAAUGCCAUUCGCUUUCGUUAAAGGAAAUGCUAACCUAUUGGGCACUCUCCAUGAACAAACUUGCAGAGAGCAGUAGGACGAGGAAACCAGUUGAGAUCUUCAUCUCUCUGUCUCAUUGCAGCCUAUGAACUACCAGGUAUUUAAAACACGUGACAAUGUCCCGACCAAAAAAACAGAAAAACGUAUGAGUGUGGACUUGUAACCUCAUGCUGCCUGCACAAUGAUCCUUAUUACAUGGGGAUGCUUAGUGUACGUCAAUCAAUGGAUAAUGCAAUGUUCAUACUAGAGCAAUUUGGUCAAGCCAACGUAUUUUCUAGUCAAAGCAUUUCAAACAAUGUUCCUGUUAGGGUUAUGUGCUGUGAUACAACUCGAAGUAUUGGACAAAAGUGAUUAAGUUGAGGACAAUAUAGAUACAUACUAGUAUGUAGCCUACACUGAUUCACUGCACAACAGAUCCCACACCCAUUUUUAGCCCACCAAGUUUUGAACAUGGGAUGAAUGAGAGUUUGUAGCUACCUAGCAUGGUGCAGUCAUGGAACCUGCAUUUGUGGAAUCUGAACAUCUGGAAAUCACUCUAGGUGUACUAUGGUAUGAUGAAAUCGUACAAAACCCAUGCUGCAGUCAUGGAACCUCCAUUUCCAAACGUUGUGUUAGUUGACACGACACAGCACAAAACCCAUGCUGCAGACCAAAAAAAAGUAAUCAUAAACCAACUGUUCUUACAUUUGUAUUCAUAACAUGAUAAAAAAUCAAAUAGAACAAGGAAAUUUGAACAUACUCUAGAUCAAGAGAACCCGCUGUGCCCAUGACUGAUGUCACCACACAAGUCCCAUUAUCACUGGAAAAAACCAUGGACAUACUGAAAUCUGCUAUUUCCACAUCCAAGUUUUCGUUGCGCUGGGAUUGCCUCCUCUCUUAAUGCAAUUCUCUUACUGGAUUCCCUUCUUAAAUAGGCUGAAAUACAAAUCCAAUUCAUCUGUGAUUAACGUAUUUUACAUAACUUGACGUGCUUUUAUUCGAGGAUGAAAGAUGGAAGAAAGAAGUUACAUAUUAACUAAACAGAUUACCUUCCAUAAAAUUGGUCUAAUAAAACUGUGUUAGUUUGGUGAACAGAUUACCCUGUACAAAAGUGUAUCUGCACCAUAACAAUCAAAUGGACCUAAGACAAGAGAACAGAACAAAUCGUUAAUGACUGUUUCGGGAAAGAAACCUACACUUGACUGUUGGAAAUGUGAGAAAGGUUGCAUUUUCUUUAAAUUUAGAACACCACAGAAAAAAUUGUACUGGCUUCCCCACUGCUGUAGAUGCUUCAGAUUCCCAACAGCUGUGAAAAGAUAGAUCGUCCACACACGAAAGGUUCUGUCAUCACUCUGGCAAGAGCCUUUUGAAUCAUCGAGUGACAAUGAUUCCGAUUCUGACUAAUAUCCCGUUUACUGCAGAAAACUAGAGUGAGUGAACAAUAUUGGACAAAAUAUACAUGAUAAUUGAUUGGAAAUAAAAAUAAGGGCUCAAAAAAUAAAAAUUACCUCGGAUAACUGGAAUGUGAGAAAUCUUUGGCCAUUCUGGGCCGUCCUUGGUGCAUCUUUCCUUGAGACGGGGACACCUUUGGAUCUCUAGCUUAUGUAAUUUGGUUAGGCAUUGCAUAGCUUCGACCGUAGGCAGAUACAUCAGAUUCUCACACCAGGAAAUUUCCAACUCUGUAAGAGAUGUAAGGUUGCCCAACCAUUCUGGAAGAGCCUCCACACCAUCGAAAGCAGAAAUGGACAAAGAUGUUAGAGAAGUAGAGUGUUGAAUUGGCCGAGGCAGAGACUUGAGCUUAGGCCACCUGUACAAUGCUAAUUCUUCCAGUUUCGAUGGGACCUGAAAAUCUGGGAAAGAAUCGAGCUCUUUGCAGAAUAAAUCGAGCUCCUUCCAGUUUUGGUGUGAUACAAGUCAGAGAGACAAUCCGAAGUAUUGGACAAAAGUGAUUAAGUCGAGGAAAUAUAGAUACAAACUAGUAUUUAGCGUACACUGAUUCACUGCACAACAGAUCCCACACCCAUUUUUAACCCACCAAGUUAUGAACAUGGUAUGAAUGAGAGAGUUUGUAGCUACCUAGCAUGGUGCUGUCAUGGAACCUGCAUUUGUGGAAUCUGAACAUCUGGAAAUCACUCUAGGUGAACUAUGGAAUGGUGAAAUCGUAACACAAGUUUCUUCAUUCAAGCCAGUUUCUUCAUUUGAGCCUUGAGUUCUUUCUGGAUGCCUGGACACCUUCAUUUCCAAACAUUGUGUUAGUUGACAUGACACAGCACAAAACCCAUGCUGCAGACCAAAAAAAGUAUUCAUAAACCACUCACUGUUCAUACAUUUGUAUUCAUAACAUGAUAAAAAAAAUCUAAUAGAACAAGGAAAUUUGAAAAUACUAUAGGUCAAGAUAACCCACUGUGCCCAUGACUGAUGUCACCACACGAGUCCCAUUAUCACUGGAAAAAACCAUGGACAUACUGAAAUCUGCUAUUUUCGCGUCCAAGUUUUCAUUGCUCUGGGAUUGCUCUCCUGUCUAACUGCAAUUCUCUUACUGGAUUCCCUUCUUAAGUGAGCUGAAAUACUAAACCAAUUUAUCUGUGAUUAACGUAUUCUAGAUAACUCGACAUGAUUUUAUUCAAGGAUGAAAGAUUGAAGAAAAAAGUUACAUAUUGACUAAACAGAUUACCUUCCACAAAAUUGGUCUCAUAAAACUGUGUUAGUUGAGAGAACCUGCACAGAGUGAGAAGAAACACAGCCUUCUACAAAAGUGUAUCUGCACCAUAACAACCAUGCACAACAAGCCUUAGAACAUAUUCGAAUGCACGUUGAAUGUCGUAAGUUAUACAGAAUGGCCACAGACUUGCAAACACUUGCAAUUUUACUUCUAAUUAGUAAUUACUAAAAGCUUAAUUUCCACAAAAGCCUAAAGUCCUACAACAACAACAACAACAACAAAGCCUUUUCCCACUAAGUGGGGUCGGCUAUAUGAAUCCUAGAACGCCAUUGCGCUCGGUUUUGUGUCAUGUCCUCCGUUAGAUCCAAGUACUCCAAGUCUUUUCUUAGAGUCUCUUCCAAAGUUUUCCUAGGUCUUCCUCUACCCCUUCGGCCCUGAACCUCUGUCCCGUAGUCACAUCUUCGAACUGGAGCGUCAGUCGGCCUUCUUUGCACAUGUCCAAAUCACCGGAGCCGAUUUUCUCUCAUCUUUCCUACAAUUCCGGCUACUCCUACUUUACCUCGGAUAUCCUCAUUCCCAAUCUUAUCCUUUCUCGUGUGCCCAUACAUCCCACGAAGCAUCCUCAUCUCCGCUACACCCAUUUUGUGUACGUGUUGAUGCUUCACCGCCCAACAUUCUGUGCCAUACAACAUCACUGGCCUUAUUGCCGUCCUAUAAAAUUUUCCCUUGAGCUUCAGUGGCCUACGACGGUCACACAACACGCCGGAUGCAUUCUUACACUUCAUCCAUCCAGCUCGUAUUCUAUGGUUGAGAUCUCCAUCUAAUUCUCCGUUCUCUUGCAAGAUAGAUCCUAGGUAGCGAAAACGGUCGCUUUUUGUGAUCUUCGCUAGAUUGCUCCGGUCAUUAGUGUGGAUAAGUAUAUAAAUGGAUAGAGAUAGGAAAGCAAACACAAGAUGUACGGGGUUCACCCAGAUUGGCUACGUCCACGGAAUAGAAGAGUUCUCAUUAAUUGUGAAGGGUUUACACAAGUACAUAGGUUCAAGCUCUCCUUUAGUGAGUACAAGUGAAUGAUUUAGUACAAAUGACAUUAGGAAAUAUUGUGGGAGAAUGAUCUCGUAAUCACGAAACUUCUAAGUAUCGGAGUGUGGUGUCGUCUUGACUUGCCUUAUCUGUCUCAUAGGUAGAUGUGGCAUCUUCUCUGGAAGUACUCUUCCUCUAUCCAAGGGUGGUAUCUUUAACUGGUGGAGAUGCACAAGGUAAUGUAUCAAUUUCACUUGAAGCUUACUUGUAGUUUCAGGCUUGGUCAAGCGCGAUACAAACCAUGUAGUACGAGUCCCCCAAGUCGCCGAGCUAGGGGGUCUGCUGAAAGAGGUGACAGACAAGGUAAGCAAUCAGAGCUCCGACUGAUUGUUCACCUUCUCCCCAUCUUGCAGCAGCAUGAAGGAUAAAGAGAAGAAAAAUGAGAAGAGAUGAUAUGAGAUACUUUUGCUUUUGAAGAAGUAACUUUCCACAGGCUUAUUCUUGAAUUGAGCUGGAGGGUUUUCUGGUUUCCUCCAGAGUAUAAGGCCGACUGAAGAAUUUGAGGGUCAAAACAAGUCCAUCAAAUCUAGAGUACAUUCCACCCUGCUGAUAUGGGAUGCUUUUGCUUUUGACAGAGUAAUGGAUGUAUCGGCACGUGUGCUGUUACGCUUGUCUCCACAUGCUUCCUUGUAUCCUUCGCACUUGCCCUAUCUGUUCCUCAAGUAGAUGCGGAAUCUUCCCUGGAAACAUAAGAUGUUGAAGAUGAGUACUCGAGAGCAAUGCCAGGUAAGUAAUCAGGUAAGGGGUUCCAGGCAGUCAGUUCCUGGCUGGAAGCUUGAUUCCAAGUGCUGACUGAUUGCUCUCUUUCUCCUUGUCUUGCAGGUAAAAACAAGGCCAAAGGAAAAGACAGGGAAAAAGCAUGAUAUGGGAUACUCUUGCUUUUAACCCUGAUGAUAUGAGAUAUUCUUGCUCUAGUAUAGCUUGUUUGCAUAGGUAUUAUCGGGGGGAAGGAAAGCUGAAUAUUUCGAAAGGCUUCGUUGGGAGUGCCCUCUCAGAUAUGAUGAAGGGUUGAGCAUUUUUGCAGGUCUGCCUGUCUGUUGGGGAUGGAGGUCGACAUAUAUAGGAGUCUCCCUAAGAAGUAGUAAUGUUAUUCCUUUACCCUGCUUGGUCAUAGCACGGUAGUGGGAGCGGCCAGUUUCACAUGUUUUAACUCUGUCAGAGCACUUUGAGAAAGUGGUCUGUGGUAUCUGGCUCUCGAGAUUCGGAGAACGAUGCCUCUUCGAUUUUUGAGAAAGCAAUCAUGCUAGGGGUCUGGCUCUCGAGAUUCGGAGAGCGGUGUCUCUUCGAUUUUUGAGAAAGUAAUCAUGUUGGGAGUUUGGCUCUCGAGAUUCGGAGGGCGGCGCCUCUUCGAUUUUGGAGCAAGCAAUCUUGUUGGGAGUGUUGUCUCGAAUGUGAGUAAAGGUUGGGCAUGUUUGUUAGUCUACCUUGCCACGAAGCACAAAGGUUGACACACAGGGAUUUUCCAAUUAUCCAGCAAUGGUACUGUUCCUUUACCCUCUCUUCGAUUUUGAGAAAGUAGUCAUGUUGGGAGUCUGGCUCUCGAGAUUCGGAGGACGGUGUCUCUUCGAUUUUGGAGCAAGCAAUCUUGUUGGGAGUGUUUUCUCGAAUGUGAGUAAAGGUUGGGCAUGUUUGCUAGUCUACCUUGCCACGAAGCACAUAGGUUGACAAACAGGGACUUUCCAAUUAUCCAGCAGUGGUACUGUUCCUUUAUCCUUGUGGGUAAUAAUAUGGUAAUAAUAUGGUAGCUAGACCUUCAAAAUUUAUGUGUCUAAACUUUGUUAGUGCUACUUCUUUGCUAUUCUUUUACCUUUCUUGGUCAGAGCGAUGUAGUGGGAGCUGCAAGCUUCACGUGCUCAACUUUGGCAGAGAACUUUGGCAAAGUUAUCUGUGGUACCCAUGAGCUAUUGUUGCGUGUGGGAAGUGGGUGAUUGAACAGUAAGAUUCAUGUGCUUUCUACUUCACCAGAAGUCUUCGACAGAAUGCCCAUAAUUUCUGCAAAGCUGAGUGUGCGUGUGACAGGUGCUGACAAGGCUAGAAAAGUAGGUGCCUCUUCGAUUUCUGAGAUCGGCCCUCGUGGUCUCUAAGCAGCCCAGCUUUUGAGAAAGCGAGCGCCUCUUCGAUUGAUUCGGAGAACGAUGCCUCAUCGAUUUUUGAGAAAGCAAUCAUGCUGGGGGUCUGGCUCUCGAAGAUUCGGGGAGCAGUGUCUCUUCGAUUUUUGAGAAAGUAAUCAUGUUGGGAGUCUGGCUCUCGAGAUUCGGAGGGCGGUGCCUCUUCGAUUUUGGAGCAAGCAAUCUUGUUGAGAGUGUUUUCUCGAAUGUGAGUAAAGGUUGGGCAUGUUUGCUAGUCUACCUUGCCACGAAGCACAGAGGUUGACACACAGGGACUUUCCAAUUAUCCAGCAGUGGUACUAUUCUUUUACCCUCUCUUCGAUUUUUAAGAAAGUAGUCAUGUUGGGAGUCUGGCUCUCGAGAUUCGGAGGACGGUGCCUCUUCGAUUUUGGAGCAAGCAAUCUUAUUGGGAGUGUUUUCUCGAAUGUGAGUAAAGGUUGGGCAUGUUUGCUAGUCUACUUUGCCACGAAGCACAGAGGUUGACACACAGGGACUUUCCAAUUAUCCAGCAGUGGUACUAUUCCUUGACCCUUGUGGGUAAUAAUAUGGUAGCUAGACCUUCAAAAUUUAUGGGUCUAAACUUUGUUAGUGCUGUUUCUUUGCUAUUCUUUUGCCUUUCUUGGUCAGAGCGAUGUAGUGGGAGCUGCAAGCUUCACGUGCUCUACUUUGGCAGAGAACUUUGGCAAAGUUAUCUGUGGUACCCAUGAGCUAUUGUUGCGUGUGGGAAGUGGGUGAUUGAACAGUAAGAUUCAUGUGCUUUCUACUUCACCAGAAGUCUUCGACAGAAUGCCCAUAAUUUCUGCAAAGCUGAGUGUGCGUGUGACAGGUGCUGACAAGGCUAGAAAAGUAGGUGCCUCUUCGAUUUCUGAGAUCGGCCCUCAUGGUCUCUAAGCAGCCCAGCUUUUGAGAAAGCGAGCGCCUCUUCGAUUGAUUCGGAGAACGAUGCCUCAUCGAUUUUUGAGAAAGCAAUCAUGCUAGGGGUCUGGCUCUCGAAGAUUCGGGGAGCAGUGUCUCUUCGAUUUUUGAGAAAGUAAUCAUGUUGGGAGUCUGGCUCUCGAGAUUCGGAGGGCGGUGCCUCUUCGAUUUUGGAGCAAGCAAUCUUGUUGAGAGUGUUUUCUCGAAUGUGAGUAAAGGUUGGGCAUGUUUGCUAGUCUACCUUGCCACGAAGCACAGAGGUUGACACACAGGGACUUUCCAAUUAUCCAGCAAUGGUACUGUUCCUUUACCCUCUCUUCGAUUUUUAAGAAAGUAGUCAUGUUGGGAGUCUGGCUCUCGAGAUUCGGAGGACGGUGCCUCUUCGAUUUUGGAGCAAGCAAUUUUAUUGGGAGUGUUUUCUCGAAUGUGAGUAAAGGUUGGGCAUGUUUGCUAGUCUACCUUGCCACGAAGCACAAAGGUUGACACACAGGGACUUUCCAAUUAUCCAGCAGUGGUACUAUUCCUUUACCCUUGUGGGUAAUAAUAUGGUAGCUAGACCUUCAAAAUUUAUGGGUCUAAACUUUGUUAGUGCUGUUUCUUUGCUAUUCUUUUACCCUUCUUGGUCAGAGCGAUGUAGUGGGAGCUGCAAGCUUCACGUGCUCAACUUUGGCAGAGAACUUUGGCAAAGUUAUCUGUGGUACCCAUGAGCUAUUGUUGCGUGUGGGAAGUGGGUGAUUGAACAGUAAGAUUCAUGUGUUUUCUACUUCCCCAGAAGUCUUCGACAGAAUGCCCAUAAUUUCCGCAAAGCUGAGUGUGCGUGUGAUAGGUGCUGACAAGGUUGGAAAAGUAGGUGCCUCUUCGAUUUCUGAGAUCGGCCCUCGUGGUCUCUGGGGAGCCCAGCUUUUGAGAAAGCGAGCGCCUCUUCGAUUUCUGAGAUCAGCCUUCGAGGUCUUUGAGCAGCCCAACUUUUGAGAAAGCAAACGCUUAUUCGAUUUCUGAGAUCAACCCUCGUGAUCUCUAAGCAGCCCAGCUUUUGAGAAAGCAAACGCCUCUUCGAUUUCUGAGCAGGCGCCUCUUCGAUUUCUGAAGCUCCGUCGAGUGCAGAUUUUUAUAGGGGCUGGCAUUAAGUUCCAAAGCACACUUGAAUCUCCACCAGUAGAAGCUUCAUUCUUGCACUUCUAAGAUCUUGAUUUGUCCGACCUCUUCUCUCUUCAACACCUUUGAAAAUGUCUGGCCCCUCCGACCGUCAUUUUGACUUGAACCUUGUUCAAGAGGCAGCCCCGCCUUCUCCAGACAACAUAUGGCGCCCAUCCUUCGUCUCCCCUACUGGUCCUCUUACCGUUGGGGAUUCCGUGAUGAAGAAUGAUGACCGCUGCGGUGGUGGCCAGGAACCUUCUCACUCCCAAAGAUAACAGACUACUUUCCAAACGGUCUGAUGAGUUAGCUGUUAAGGAUUCGCUGGCUCUCAGUGUUCAGUGUGCAGGUUAUGUGUCUAAUAUGGCCCAACGCCUAUUUGCUCGAACCCGCCAAGUUGAAUCAUUGGCGGCUGAAGUGAUGAGUCUCAAACAGGAGAUUAGAGGGCUCAAGCAUGAGAAUAAACAGUUGCACCGGCUCGCACAUGACUAUGCUACAAACAUGAAGAGGAAGCUUGACCAGAUGAAGGAAACUGAUGGUCAGGUUUUACUUGAUCAUCAGAGAUUUGUGGGUUUGUUCCAAAGGCAUUUAUUGCCUUCGUCUUCUGGGGCUGUACCGCGUAAUGAAGCUCCAAAUGAUCAACCUCUGAUGCCUCCUCCUUCUAGGGUUCUGUCCAGUACUGAGGCUCCAAAUGAUCCCCAUCCGGUGCCUGCUCUUUCUGGGGCUCUACCGACUGCUGAGACUUCUCCUAAGCAACCUUUGUGAAAGCUCCCUCUUGUGUGUUUAUUUUGACUCAUGUAUAUGUACAUAUUUAUAGUUUAUCGGAGAUAUCAAUAAAUAAGCUUUCCUUCAUUUCAACGUAUUGUGUUAAAUACACCAAAGCCUUCUUCGCUAAGUUCUUUGAAUUUUCUUUUGUUGAAGCUUGUAUGUUGAAGCUUUCUGAGUGGAGCAUGUAGGUUGGGGUAGUGUUCCCUUAAUUUUCCGAGUGAGGAAAACUUCUCGGUUGGAGACUUGGAAAAUCCAAGUCACUGAGUGGGAUCGGCUAUAUGAAUCUUAGAACGCCAUUGUGUUGGAUCCUGUGUCAUGUCCUUCGUUAGAUCCAAGUACUCUAAGUCUUUUCUUAGAGUCUCUUCCAAAGUUUUCCUAGGUCUUCCUCUACCCCUUCGGCCCUGAACCUCUGUCCCAUAGUCGCAUCUUCUAAUCGGAGCAUCAGUAGGCCUUCUGUGCACAUGUCCAAACCACCGUAACCGAUUUUCUCUCAUCUUUCCUUCAAUUUCGGCUACUCCUACUUUACCCCGGAUAUCCUCAUUCCUAAUCUUAUCCUUUCUCGUGUGCCCACACAUCCAACGAAGCAUCCUCAUCUCCGCUACACCCAUUUUGUGUACGUGUUGAUGUUUCACCGCCCAACAUUCUGUGCCAUACAGCAUCGCCGGCCUUAUUGUCGUCCUAUAAAAUUUUCCCUUGAGCUUCAGUGGCAUACGGCGGUCACAUAACACGCCGGAUGCACUCUUCCACUUCAUCCAUCCAGCUUGUAUUCUAUGGUUGAGAUCUCCAUCUAAUUCUCUGUUCUUUUGCAAGAUAGAUCCUAGGUAACGAAAACGGUCGCUCUUUGGUAUUUCUUGAUCUCCGAUCCUCACCCCUAACUCGUUUUGGCCUCCAUUUGCACUGAACUUGCACUCCAUAUAUUCUGUCUUUGAUCGGCUUAGGCGAAGACCUUUAGAUUCCAACACUUCUCUCCAAAGGUUAAGCUUUGCAUUUACCCCUUCCUGAGUUUCAUCUAUCAACACUAUAUCGUCUGCGAACAGCAUACACCAAGGAAUAUCAUCUUGAAUAUGUCCUGUUAACUCAUCCAUUACCAACGCAAAAAGGUAAGGACUUAAGGAUGAGCCUUGAUGUAAUCCUACAGUUAUGGGAAAGCUUUCGGUUUGUCCUUCAUGAGUUCUUACGGCAGUCUUUGCUCCUUCAUACAUAUCCUUUAUAGCUUGGAUAUAUGCUACUCGUACUCCUUUCUUCUCUAAAAUCCUCCAAAUAAUGUCUCUUGGGACCCUAUCAUACGCUUUUUCCAAAUCUAUAAAGACCAUGUGUAAAUCCUUUUUCCCAUCUCUAUAUCUUUCCAUCAAUCUUCGUAAGAGAUAGAUUGCCUCCAUGGUUGAGCGCCCUGGCAUGAACCCGAAUUGGUUGUCCGAAAUCCGUGUCUCUUGCCUCAAUCUAUGCUCAAUGACUCUCUCCCAGAGCUUCAUUGUAUGACUCAUUAGCUUAAUACCCUUAUAGUUCAUGCAAUUUUGUACGUCGCCCUUAUUCUUGUAGAUAGGCACCAAAGUGCUCGUUCGCCACUCAUUUGACAUCUUCUUCGUUUUCAAAAUCCUAUUGAAAAGGUCAGUGAGCCAUGUUAUACCUGUCUCUCCCAAAAGUUUCCACACUUCGAUUGGUAUAUCGUCUGGGCCUAUUGUUUUUUUAUGCUUCAUCUUCUUCAAAGCUACAACCACUUCUUCCUUCCGGAUUCGACGAUAAAAAGAGUAGUUUCUACACUCUUCUGAGUUACUCAACUCCCCUAAAGAAGCACUCAUUUCAUGUCCUUCAUUGAAGAGAUUAUGAAAAUAACCUCUCCAUCUGUCUUUAACCGCGUUCUCUGUAGCAAGAACCUUUCCAUCCUCAUCCUUGAUGCACCUCACUUGGUUUAGGUCCCUUGUCUUCUUUUCCCUUGCUCUAGAUAGUUUAUAGAUAUCCAACUCUCCUUCUUUGGUAUCUAGUCGUUUAUACAUAUCGUCGUAAGCCGCUAACUUAGCUUCUCUGACAGCUUUCUUCGCCUCUUGCUUCGCUUUUCUAUACCUUUCACCAUUUUCAUCGGUCAUCUCCUUGUAUAAGGCUUUACAACAUUCCUUCUUAGCCUUCACCUUUGUUUGUACCUCCUCAUUCCACCACCAAGAUUCCUUUUGGUGUGGGGCAAAGCCCUUGGACUCUCCUAAUACCUCUUUUGCUACUUUUCGGAUACAACUAGCCAUGGAAUCCCACAUUUGGCUAGCUUCCCCCUCUCUAUCCCACACACAUUGGGUGAUUACCUUCUCUUUGAAAAAUGGCUUGUUUUUCUUCUUUUAGAUUCCACCAUCUAGUCCUUGGGCACUUCCAAGUCUUGUUCUUUUGUCUUACUCUUUUGAUAUGUACAUCCAUCACCAACAAGCGAUGUUGAUUAGCCACGCUCUCUCCUGGUAUAACUUUGCAAUCCUUACAAGUUAUACGAUCCCCUUUCCUCAUUAGAAGAAAAUCUAUUUGUGUUUUUGACGACCCACUCUUGUAGGUGAUCACAUGUUCUUCUCUCUUCUUAAAGAAGGUGUUGGCUAAGAAGAGAUCAUAUGCCAUUGCAAAAUCCAAGAUAGCUUCCCCAUCCUCGUUUCUCUCCCCAAAACCAUGGCCACCAUGAAAACCUCCAUAGUUGCCUGUCUCCCUGCCCACGUGUCCAUUUAAAUCUCCUCCUAUAAAUAACUUCUCCGUCUGAGCAAUUCCUUGCACCAAGUCUCCAAGAUCUUCCCAAAAUUUCUCCUUCGAACUCGUAUCCAACCCUACUUGAGGUGCGUACGCACUAAUCACAUUGAUAAGUUCUUGUCCUAUUACAAUCUUGAUUGCCAUGAUUCUAUCUCCUACCCUCUUGACAUCUACAACAUCUUGUACCAAGGUCUUGUCCACGAUGAUGCCAACACCGUUUCUCGUUCUAUUUGUGCCCGAAUACCAAAGUUUAAACCCUGAGUUUUCUAGAUCCUUUGCCUUACUACCAACCCACUUAGUUUCUUGUAGGCACAUAAUAUUUAUCCUUCUCCUCACCAUCCUUACUACCAACCCACUUAGUUUCUUGUAGGCACAUAAUAUUUAUCCUUCUCCUCACCAUAACUUCCACUACUUCCAUAGAUUUUCCCGUUAAGGUUCCUAUAUUCCACGUUCCUAAACGCAUUUUGCUCUCUUGAACUCUACCCUUCUGUCCUAGCUUCUUCAGGGUCUGGGAGAGGUGAAUGUCGGCUAGCCUUACCCCCAUUUUAUGGAGAGCCUGCUCCCAAGUCUCGAACCCGAGACCUACCGCUCAUGGGCGAAGGCACUUGCCAUCGCACCAAGUGCGACCAGAGUGAGUAAACAAUAUUGAACCAAAUACACAUGAAUAAUUGAUUGGAGAUAAAAAUAAAAAUUACCUCUGAUAUCUGGAAUAUGAUAAAUCUUUGGCCAUUCUGGGCCACUGUUCUUGGCGCAUCUUUCUGCCAGACGUUGGUGAUUGGUAUUUAGUCUUUGGUUACUAUUAUCUUUAGUAAAUGGAGUAGACUUGUACUUGAAAGUUGAUGACCAAAUUGACAACUGCCUCCUCUUCAUUUGGCUGCAAUGAAAUCCUAACUAGCUACCCAGCAAAUGGUGUUGUCAUGGAACCUGCAUUUGUGGAAUAUGAACAUCUGGAAUUCACUCAAGGUGAAUUAUGGUAUGGUGAAAUCGUAACAUGAGUUUCUUCAUUUGAGCCUGGAGUUCCUUCUCGAUGCCUAGACACCUCCAUUUCCAGAAAUUGUGUUAGUUGGCACAUCACAAAACUCAUGGUGGCUCUAUGUUGGGAGGUAUGCAAAGCUGCCUCUGAUGCUUUCCAGACCGAAUUCACAUUGAACUCUCCUCGAAGCCCUUGAUCCAAAAUAGUUGUUCAAUUCCCGUUCUGGAACUCAAGAUUCACCUACUCCACUAUGUGGACAAGAUCAUCAUUUUCUAUGAUUGCAGGUUGGCUAGUAAAACCCUAAACAUCAAUUUUUUUUUUCCUUCAACCUUGCUAAUUAUAGUAUCUGCAGACCAAAUAAAGUAAUCAUAGAUCACUCACUGCUCAUAGAAUUCACAUUGAACUCUCCUCGAAGCCUUUGAUCCUAAAUAGUUGUUCAAUUCCCGUUCUGGAACUCAAGAUUCACCCGCUCCACUAUGUGGACAAGAUCAUCAUUUUCUAUGAUUGCAGGUUGGCCAGUAAAACCCUAAACAUCAAUUUUUUUUUCCUUCAACCUUGCUAAUUAUAGUAUCUGCAGACCAAAUAAAGUAAUCAAAGAUCACUCACUGCUCAUAGAUUUUUUUUUUUUUUUAACAUGAUCAAAAUUCUAAGAACAGUAGAACACGAAAUCUGAACAUGCUCGGAAUCAAGAUACCUUGCUGUGCCCAUGAACGAUGCCACCAGAGUCUCAUUGUCACUGGGAAAAACCAUGGACAGACCAAAAUCUGCUAUUUUGCAUCCAAGUUUUAAUUCAGGAGAAUGUUGGCAGUCUUUACAUCUCUAUGCACAAUACUGGAUUGUGAAUAUAUAGUAGCACAAAAAAUAACACUAAGCACCUAUCUAACGCAAUAUCUAAUGCCAUCCAAAGUCUCAUUUCCCAAGUUUAUGUGAGCUCCUAUCUGCUUCUGCAACCAUUAACGUGACACUUCAAUAUUUUGAAACCCUCUGUUGGAGGACAAUGCUAUGUAAAAUAUAGAAUUACAUACCUGAUCAGAGAUAUUCUUUUAGGUUUUCAUUAGGCAUGUACUUGUAUAUAAGUGCCAACUUGUCAGUAUCACACAGUAUCCAAUAAACGAGGCCAAGUUUCUAUGAUGGAUUCUCAUCGGGAGCUCAACCUGCAGCCACAAGGAACUCAUCAAUCUCUAACCAAAGAGACAAGGCAUUUAACUUGCAUCCAAGGAAUUAAAUUCAAACUGUCAAACCUCUGUUUGGAACUCCCUAGCUGAGCUAGCUCCUUGAGAUGACGAUGUAGAACCACAACUUGAGUGCCAUAUUUCAACUAGCCAUGGUAUACAAUCCCAAAUCCUCCUUUCCCGAUUUCCGUUUUAAAGAUUUCGGUGAUUUCUAAAACCUCGUCAUAAGUGAACUAGGACUUCUGAUGCUACAGGAGUUUUGUUACGUGUUUCUCCAUCUGCAGCUCAAGUAGACAAAAAGAUAUGAGUUCAGACUAACUGGUUAGGAAUACCACUACACCAUAGUAGGAGCGCCGGUUCUAAUUGAAUUAAGUAUCAAAAAGAUAUGAGUUCAGACUAACUGGUUAGGAAUACCACAACACCAUUUGCUUUGGUUAAAGAAAAUGCUAACCUAUUCGGUGCUCUCCAUGAAUGAAACUUGCACAGAGCAGUAGGACAAGGAAAUCAAUUGAGAUCAUCUUCUCUCUUUGUCUCACUGCAGCCUAUGAACUACCUGGUAUUUAUUAUGCGUGACAAUGUUCUGACCAAAAAAGCAGAAAAACGUAUAUGACAGUGUGGAUUUGUACCUUAUGCUGCACAACUUUACAUGAAAUCAUUCUAGGUGAAAUCGUAAUAUGAGUUUCUUCAUUUUAGACUGGAGUUCUUUGUUGAUGCGUAGACACCUCUAUUCCAUACAUUGUGUUAGUUGGCACAGCACAAAACCCAUGGUGGCUCUAUGUUGGCAGGUGAUAGUUGUGCAUGCCAUUGCUGUCUCUAAAGCUUUCCAGACUGAAUUCACAUCGAACUCUCCUCGAAUCAUUCGAUACAAAAUAGUUGUUAAAUCCCAUUCUGGAACUCAGGGUUCACCCACUGCACUAUGUGGACAAAAUCAUCACUUUCUAUGAUUGCAGGUUGGCCAGUAAAACAGUAAAAAUCAAUUUUUUUAAUGCAACCCUUGAUAACUAUAGUACCUGCAGACCAAAAAAUGUAAUCACAAAUAAACCACUCACUGUUCAUACAUUUGUGUUUAUAACAUGAUAAAAAAUCUAAUAGCACAUGGAAAUUUGAACAUACUCUUGAUCAAGAUAACCUGCUCUGCCCAUGACCGAUGUCACCACACAAGUCUCAUUAUCACUGGAAAAAAAACCAUGGACAGACCGAAAUCUGCUAUUUUGUGCAUCUAAGUUUCCGUUAUGCUGUGCUUGCUCUCCCCUCCUAAUGCAAUUCUCUUACUGGAAUCCCUUCUUAAGUGAGCUGAAAUACAAAUCCAAUUUUAUCUGUGAUUAAUGUAUUCUAGAUAACUUGACAUGGUUUCAUUCAAGGAUGAAUGCUUUGAACAAAGAAGUUACAUAUUGACAAAACAGAUUACCUUCCAUAAAAUUGGUCUAAUAAAACUCUGUGAGUUGAGAGGACGUGCACACAGUGAGAAGAAGCACAACCUUGUACAAAAGUGCAUCUGCACCAUAACAAGUAAAAACCAUGCGCAACAUGCCUUAGAACAUAUUUGCAAACCAAAUGGAACUAAGACAAGAGAAGAGAACAAAUCAUGAAUUACAGUUUCGGGAAAGAAACCUACACUUGACUGUGGGAAAUGCGAGAAAUCUUGGGCUUGUUUGAAUUUAGAACGCAAUAGUAAAAUUUGGAUUGGCUUCCCUACUGCAGAUAGAUAGUUGAGAUUCCCACAACGGUGAAUAGAUAGAUGGUGGAUUCAUGAAAGGUUCCGUCAUCACUCUGGUAAGAGCCUUUUCAAUCAUCAAGUGACAAUCAUCUAAUUCUGCAGAAAACGAGAGUGGAUGAAGAAUUUUGAACAAAAUAUACAUGGAUAAUUGAUUGGCCCCAAAAAUAAAACUUACCUCAGAUCUGGAAUGUGAUAAAUCUUUGGCCAUUCUGGGCCGCUGGCCAAAAAUAAAUCUUUGGCGCAUCUUUCUGCCAGACGGGGACACCCAUGAAUCACUAGAUUAUGUAAUUUGGUUAGGCGUUGCGUAGCUUCGACCGUAGGCAGAUACAUCAGGUCCUUGCAGUACCAAAUUCCCAACUUAGUAAGAGAUGUGAGGUUGCCCAACCACUCUGGAAGAGCCUCCAGACCAUCGAAAUCCCAAAUUUCCAACUUAGUUAGAGAAGCAGAGUGUUGAAUUUGCUGAGGCAGAGACUUGAGCUUAGGCCACCCCUUCAAUUUUAAUUCUUCAAGUUUCGAUGGGACCUGAAAAUCAGGGAAAGAAUCGAGCUCUUGGCAGAAGGCACCGAUCGACAACACUUCCAAACGAGAUAGAGAGUGCAGCCCCUUGGGCAAAUAUUGUAAUUUCCCACAAUUACAUAAUUCCAAACGAGAUAGAGAUUGCAAGCUGGACACAUUGUGAUCCGCCAGAGAUAUCAAAUUGGAGCAAUUACUGACCCUUAAUUCGGUAAGAGAUGUGCAGUAUGCAAGCCCACUCGGUAGACUUAUUAAUCCAUCACAUCGAUAAAUAAUGAACUCAGUGAGGGACGUGAGGUUGUCUAAACUGGGAAUAGCCUCUAGAUUAGGGCAUUCACUGACGCACAAACAGGUAAGAGAUGUGCAGUAUGCAAGCCCACUCGGUAGACUUAUUAAUCCAUCACAUCUCCUAAUUUCUAAAUUAGUGAGGGACGUGAGGUUGUCUAAACUGGGAAUAGCCUCUAGAUUAGGACAAUCCCGUAUUUCCAUCUUCUCAAGAGAGACGGGGGUUUGUAGCCCAUGACCCGACAAAGUCCUCAAAUUUCGACAAUCCCGGAUACACAGUGUGCGAAGACUAGUACAGGAAGGGAGCCCACUCAGUAUACUUGUGAAUCCAUCACAUUCCCAAAUAAUCAAAUCAGUGAGGGACGUGAGGUUGUCUAAACUGGGAAUAUCCUCUAGAUUACAGCAAUAGCUGACAUCCAAACGGGUAAGAGAUGUGCAGUAUGCAAGCCCACUCGAAAGACUUAUUAAUCCAUCACAUCCCCUAAUAAUCAACUCAGUGAGGGACGUGAGGUUGUCUAAACUGGGAAUAUCCUCUAGAUUACAGCAAUAGCUGACAUCCAAAUGGGUAAGAGAUGUGCAGUAUGCAAGCCCACUCGAAAGACUUAUUAAUCCACCACAUCCCCUAAUAAUCAACUCAGUGAGGGACGUGAGGUUGUCUAAACUGGGAAUAGCCUUUAGAUUAGGGCAAUCCCAUAUUUCCAUCUUCUCAAGAGAGACGGGGGUUUGUAGCCCAUGACCUGACAAAGUCCUCAAAUUUGGACAAUGCCGAAUACUUAGUGUGCGAAGACUGGUACAAGAAUGGAGCCCACUCAGUAUACUUGUAAAUCCAUUGCAAUUUUCAAUAAACAAAUCACGGAGGGAUGUGCAACCGUUUAAAGACAACUCCUCCACCUGCUGUUGUUGUUGUAGGUUUUCCGACUCCUCAAGAGACGUACAUUUUUUAAUAACCAAUUUGCAGAGUGAGGGCAGACUGUGAAUUGAAGUGCAUCUUAGCUUUGGGCAACCAACUAUUUUGAACUCCUGAAGAGAUUGGGAUGGUGAAAUUUGGAAGGAUUCUAGAUUGCUGCAAUCCUCAAUUUCCACCGUCUCAAGUGAUGGGCAAUAUUCUAACCCACAACACAAGCUCGAAAAUUUCUCACAGCUCAUAAUUCUCAAUUUACGGAGGGAUGUGCAACCGUUUAAAGACAAGUCCUCCACCUGCUGAUGUUGUUGUAGGUUUUCCGACUCCUUAAGAGACGUACAUUUUUCAAUAACCAAUUUGCGGAGUGAAGGCAGACUGUGAAUUGAAGUGCAUCUUAGCUUUGGGCAACCAACUAUUUUCAACUCCUGAAGAGAUUGGGAUGGUGAAAUUUGGAAGGAUUCUAGAUUGCUGCAAUCCUUAAUUUCCACCGUCUCAAGUGAUGGGCAAUAUUCUAACCCACAACACAAGCUCGACAAUUUCUCACAGCUCAUAAUUCUCAAUUGACGGAGAUUGGUUACUUGACAAUUUCUCAUCAUCCAAGAUGCAAAUUUAGUACCCUUGAAUUCCUCAAUCGUCAAGCUUUUUAAGUUGGGGUGUGGUUGAAGCCCUUCAAGAAUAUCCUCGUCAAGAAAAUUGCCAUUUCUUUCUUUCCCCCAUUUUAAUAUCAAUUUUUGUAAGUAUGCUUUUUCCACUAAUUUUGAUUUCAUUGCUUCUUCCUUGUCUCUCACAUAUUCCAAUGCUCCAAUAACUAGUUUCCCUUUCAAUUCAUUUAACCCGCCCAGCUCAUCAAGUCUAUGACGCCUAUCUUCAUCCAAAUUAAAGGAAGGUAGCGUUUGAAGAUGAGUCAAUCUUGUCAUCCCAAAUGGAACUUCCACAUUAUUGUCGAAAUAAACAUGUCUCAAGUUGAUCAAAUUUUCCAUUUCCCUAGGAAACGUUUUAAGAGCCCACAUCCUUGACAUUCUUAACGUUUGAAGAUUAUACAGCUUGCCAACAGAUUUAGGGAGUUCUUUCAUUUCUGUCUCGGAAAUGUUGAGAUACCUCAAGCGUUUCAACUUUCCAAUUGAACUGGGCAACUCCUCUAUUUCAACACGGAAUAAAUUCAACGUUCGUAAAGCUCUAAACUUUUGGAAGAUGUUACUGAACUCAAAGCGUCGUGGAGGAAACAACGACCGCAAUCUCCUUUGUGGAAAUCUGUCGAGUGUUGUGGAAGAAAUUCGGGCAACAUGUUGAAUCUCAUCAAGUGCUCCAACAUCCAUCUGAUCCAAGUCUCGUGUCAAGCUUUCAAAUUUGAAUACUUUCUCAGCAAGAUCAUGCACAAGAUCGUGCAUCGUGCAUAUGGUAUACCCAUGGUCAUCUUCUCUUUCUCUUCUAUGUGCAUACUCAUGGUUUCUAGCAUCUUGAAAUAAAGAGUUUUGCAAUAGAAUAUUAAAAUGUUCAUUACCUUUAUCCUCCAUGGGAGAAGAAUGGAGAUAUCCUUGAGCCAUCCAAAGUUGGACCAAGUCAUCUUUGUCAAUUUCACAAUCUUUUUCAAACAUUGAGCAAUAUGCAAAACAUUGCUUCAAUGAUGGCUCUCUUAAAUUAUCAAAACUCAACUUCAAGAUCGACAUGAUUUGGUCAUCUCCAUCUCGUAAUUCCCAUAUUUUACUUUCUAGAAUUGACGACCAUUCCUGUGAACGCAUCAAGCUUCCUAAAACCUGUUGAUACAUAAGAUAAUUAGUUUCUAUAUGUUUUACAAUAUAAAAAGCUCAUUAGCAAAAUAAUAACAGUGCCAAAUUAUAGUUUUAUUGAAUUUUGACUAUAGUUAUUGGCAAGAUAAAGACGCAUUGAACUCAACUUUGUUUUGUAUCGAUGAAUAGUCAAAGACUGCUCUUGUUAGAAGAGAAAUACAAAAGGGACUUUCUAGCCAAGUAAGAAUUGGUCUCAGAAUUAAUUGAAAGAUACUUUAUUAGAUCAGUUAAAUAUAAGUUUUAAUUUUUUAGUACCUCAAUAUAUUUUUACACUAAAGGGAUGGAGAGUUCGGCUAAACUACACAACAGACAAUUUAAUUUGGUAUCGAAUUCGUCAUCCACAAGAUUUGAACCUAAGGUCUCUUACUUCCAAGUGAAGAGGAAUACUUGAUACUGUAGUACUAAGAGGCUAUAAGUGUCAAUUAGAUACUUAAGAUAACUGAGUAAUUGAAUGGUUCGUAACAAUGCACUAGGAAGGUAGUAUUUUGAAGGAGUGCUUUGAUCCACAUUUUCUAGAGUGUUUACAUGUAUAUAUAAGGUUAAGAUUCAGAGACACUCAUUUUUGAAACAUAUUUUAACAUAAGUUUUCGUGGCUUUCAUUCUGUAAUUUUUUUUUCAAGGAUCUCAAUCAUUUAUAUUUCAAUUAAUCAUUCAUAGAUCUUUCGUGUAAAAAAUUAGACAAUUCCAAACUCAUUUUGACAUUUAUUUGUAGUGAAGAAAAAAGCCGCUACAAUUCUACAAAGAUACACUAAAUUUACGCAGUCGUGCGAUAAGUGAACUAUUCUUUCGCCUUUUACUAAAGAAACACUAAAUUUGAUCCAAUGGUCAUAUGACUUCAGAUUUGGAUGAUUUUUUUUUAUAUAGAUGAUAUUUUAGGGAAGACGUAAAAUAUAAGAUGGUUAGAUCGUUGAAAUACAUUACACACACACAAUAUAUAUAUAGGCCCCCUAAGGGAAGGGAUCCUUUUUUUUUUAAAAAAAAUGGACACUCUUUUGACUGUUAGAUUUAGCUUUAAUGAAAUUAUGUGGUUGAGAUUAAAUCACAGGCCACAGAAUUUCAUUAAAGCCAAAUCUAAUGGUCAAGAGGGUGUCCCCAUUUUUUAAAACUUACAAGAAAUGUGAACUACGAAUGACUUGAGAAAUUUUAAAACUUACAAGAAAUGUGAACUACGAAUGACUUAAUCUCGUCUUUGAGUACAUGAGACAUAAAGGUUAGAUGCAUCCAUGUGAUAAAAGAGAAGUUACUACGUUAUUGACCUGUUGGUUUGUUUUUUGCCAUGUCUUAGAAAUGAGACAUGACAGUUAGGUAGGUACAUUCUAAAGUCACAUGUCGGUCCUGUAGAAAUCUCCGAAUGGGAUUCUACUAAGUACAAAUUCUUUAUAGAGGAAGCUAGCAAUGUACGUCUUGGACACAUUCCUAUUGCGACCCAUUUUUGUGUGUAAUUAAUGUCGCAUAUUACAAACUUAUUUCUAAACCACUCAUUCAUCGUUCAAGACCCAAGAAGUUUUUAUUCCCAUUCGAUUGAUUGAUUUAACAUGGGAUAUGGGAUAGAUGUUAUAGAAACCAACCACUUGAAUCAUAUUUUACAGAUCACAUGAUGUGUUAGCUCAUGGUUGGAUUCAUUCUUUAAAGAGUGGUGAUAUUCCCACCCCGGUGUCUUAUUUCCCCACCCACCAUUUAAUGAAAAUGUUAAUAACAUAUUUAUCCUUUUAAAAGAAGACUCUUAAACCCCUAUUUAAUUCAGUAAUAAAAUCUUGAAAAAACAAAAAAUAAUUUAAAAUAAUAAAUAAAUAAUGGUAGAUGGGGUGUGAUAUCUUUGGUGGAAAGAGGUUGGGAAAGAUUUGGGUUAGAAUCGACGGAAAGGUUGGAGGAAUGAAUGGGCGUGUGCUAGACGAAGGCGAGAAACUUCAAUGGACAAAAAAGAGAAUUGAGUGUGAGAUCUGCGGUUUUGACAAAAUAGGAGGAAGAAGAGUGGUUUGGGGGUCCGAGGUCUCUGCAGGACGACGAUAGGUGUGAAGGAGAUGAUGAAUGUCUAGGUCUUAGGUCUUGCAUUUUCUUUCAUUUUUUUCUAUUUUUAUUUAUUUAUUUAUAAUAUUAUUUAAAAAUAUAUUAGAGUUAUUUAAAAAAAUAUAUUAUGGUUAUUUUGGGAAUAAUGGUGGGUGGGGAAAUAACAUUUUACUUUUUUAAUUUUUUUAUGAUGGGUGGGAUUAUCAUGUGGGUGGGAAAAUAGGACAUUAGGGUGGGUCUAAUAACACUCUUCUUUAAAUCAUUAAAUAAACAAUCCAACCAUCAAUCGCUACAUCAUAGGAUCUAAAUACGGUCUCCUACUACCUAUCUUAAAUUGCAACAAAACUUGAUACGGAAAACAGUUUGUUUUAUAAUCGUUAUCGAUUAGCAUCAUCUUUCUCUAUGAUUAAAACAGUUCGGCUUUAAUGACACUAGGACCAAAUCUUAAAAUCGUUAUCAAUUAGCAUCAUCUUUCUCCUGAACCCCAAUCAUCAAGAAAAUAGUGGUAAUUACUGUUAGAUCUUAAUCCAACAAUAUAAAAAGGGAACUAUUAUCUGCACUCCACAAAUUUCAUUAUACACUCCUCACAAGUGUAUUUUUCUUUUUAAUUAUAAAAAACUUGGAGUGCAAAAUGAGAUUUUUGGAAUGAUAAUAACAAUUCCCUAUAAAAAAAAUCACAACAAAAAAAUGAACUAAGCACUAAUAGUUAGUUUAAGAUCGAACGGCGGAUGACCAUGCAUGGUCACUAGGCUCUUGGAGAACAAUUAUAUUGGGUUUGAUAUGGUCUCUUCUGUUUGUGGUUAAUUCGCUAUUCAAUCGUAUUGACUUCAAACCUCUGUCGCUCAGAGAAAUAGAGGAAAGAAAUCGAGCAAAAUUUCAAAGCCAAUUCUAUGUUUGUCUCCUCUAAGAAAUUUAUAGUAAUAUUGUUGAUGUAAUUAAAUUACUCCAUAUUUGUAUAGUUUAUAAUUUAACAUUUGUUUAUACGACUGUAUGCAUAACGUUUUUCUAUUCCUCACCCUUUUCUUUUCCUUUUUGUUUUUACUUUCUUUUCGUCUUCUUUCUCCUUCGUUUUGUUCUAAAACAUUUUCUUGAUUAGAAUUUAUUGCAUCAUGAAAUCUUCUUCAUUUUUUUGUGGUUUGCUAGUUAUCUUUUUAGUUUUUUACCUCACGCAUCAUCUAUUUUGUAUUUUAUUCAAUUUUUUCCUCAUGGAUUAUCUACCUGUGAUGUAGGUCUCCUAAUUUUUUUUCUUUUAUGGAAGGUUUCCUCUACUUAGCAUGUUAUUUAUCUACCUAUAACACAUGAUUUUUUUAAAGGAGACUUUGGAUGUGGUCCUUAGUUAUGAAUAUUCUUUGAUUGAAAUCUUGUUGGUUUUUAAUUUUUGAUCGAGAUCAUUGAAAUUAAUGUGAUAAUUUAUUUCUUUUUACGUUACUAUAUUAUUUUAAAUUAUAAAUUAGAAAUUUUAGUUGUUUAUAUAAAUGAGAUUUUAAAUAAAUAAAAAACAUAAUUUGUGGGAUUAAAAAUAUAAAUAUACUAUUGUGUGUGUGUAUACAUGGGUUCAUUCAUCAAAAUUAACCAAAAACUUUAUUGUAUCAAAACAUGGGUACAUUCUUCAAAAAUCACAAAAAAAAAGAUAUUAGUUUAAUAACAUUAGUAAAUUUCUUCGAUUAAACUUGACAUGGAUACAUUUUAAAAUCAAAGAAAAAAGAAUAUACCCAUAUAAGUUUAAAAAUGGAUUAGAAAAAAAAUUGAAUAGAUUUUAUAUAAAAAAAGGGUACAUUUUACAUAUAAAAAUUGGUAUAUUUAAGAAUGAGUACAUUUUAAGAUUAAAAAGUUUUACAUGAAUGGGUACAUAUAAUUAGCAUUGGUACAUUUAGCAAAAUAAAAAGUACAAAUAAAAAUAUAUAUAUGGGUACAAAUACAAAUAAACUUUAAAAAAUAUGGGUACAAAAAGAAAUUAAUAUAUGGGUACAAAUUAAAACUGAAAAGAAAAUUGGUACAAGUUAAAAAAAAUUACAACUUAAAAAUGGUAACAAACUAAAACUAAAAAUAUAUGAUAAAAAAUUUAGUCAUAAAUAUAAAUAUACUAAUUGUAACAUUUUUAACAAUAAAUGAAUAUAUUUAGAAAUAAAAAAAUAUUUUAUUAUUGAAAUAAUUAAUGAUGUUAUUAAUACCCAAAAACCUUUAAAAUUUUGAAAAUGAAUAGGAUUUUAAUCAAUAAAGUGGCAAAAUGAAAGAUGAAAAUCUAAUUUCUUUUUUUUUUUUUAAUCUACUUCUGUCACAGACUCACAGGUUUCCUAGAUAAAUGUAUGUUUGAAUUUGGAUAAAUAAUUAAAAUUUAAAAUUAUGUAACUAAUGCAUUAUUUAGGAGUUCAAUUAUCUGCUAUUUUUUUAAGGUGAAAUAGGAGUAAAAAGUAGUAGUUCCAACAAAAAAACAUAAUUGGACUCCCUAAAAUGCAGCCUAUGAUUUCGGGCUUCUAUCUAAAAACCCUAAUAUAAUAAUAUAUGAAUGCAUACCUUUGCCGCCAAUGGUAGACCAGCACACUUUUUAGCUAUGGCCCUUCCAAUGCACUCUUUAUCUGAAUCUAGAGAAGAUGGUAGUGCUUCACCCUUUAAUACAGACCAACAAUCCUCCUCCGAUAGGCCCUCCAAAUCACACCUCGGCAUUGUCUCAAUGAUUGGCAUUGUCUCAAAGAUUGAUGCAACAUUAGCACUACGGGUAGUAACAAUGGCAAUGCUUCCGGGACCAGAAUUGAGUUUCGACAAACAAUCCAUAAACUCCCUCCAAAAAUUCAUCUCUUCGUUCCAAACAUCAUCGAUUAUCAGAAUAUACCUAUUGUCUUUCAACUUUUCUGCGAGCUCCUUCAGCAAUGCUUCCCGAGCUGUAAGUCCUGCCUUCGUUGGGUCAAGGGAUUCUAACAUCCGAUUUAGAAUCGAAUUAACCUCAAAAGUGUCGGAUACACACACCCAUAUUUUUCAACAAAAGGCGUACAAAUAGCAUCAUCAUUGAAUAUUGAUUUUGCCAAAGUCGUCUUUCCGAGUCCUCCGAUUCCCACAACGGUCAUAACCGAAAGGUUCUUUUCCUGAGUCUUGGACAUCAAGAUUUUAAUGAUAUCCGACACAAUUUCCUCCCUUCCAAUGAUCUUGUCAUUCUGACAGAAUCUCGAGUCAGUUUCUCUGUUCCUCAUAAUUGGAGGAGGGGUAUGAUCUACUGGCCUUACAGCUAAGCCAAUGGAAGGUGCCUCACUCUUGAGACCCGCCAGGGACGCAUUGAUGUUCUUAAUCUUGUGUGCCAUCUUUUGACGAAAUAAAAUGGGAUUGGAGGGCGAAAAGAAGUUAAGUACCUUCUUCUUCAUGUGGUUUUCAAUUUCUACUUUACGCCGGAGAACUUCGUAGUUGAUGUCCUCCAAGACGUCAUCAGCAUCAUGAGCCACGUCUUUCAGUUUCUUGACCCAGUUUCUGACUGCCACGCUCCGAUCCUGUGGUUUGUGGGCAACAUCGCCUAAGUACUCUUGAAUCUCAAGUGACGAUUGACGAAGCUUAGUUAGCUCUUUAUUGAAUCCUCGGAAAAGACCAAUUUCUUGAGCAGCAAGUGAACCGACCGACUUCAGUAUUCCCUCCACCGGAUAAGUGAUGAUACCUUGUAGCACAUCCAUACUCGCGCGACAAAGGGAGAUUAGAGAGUAGAAGGCAGAGAACUGAGAGAAAGCCAAGGAAGGACACAAGAAGAGCGAAUAAGUUGAAUGAAAGGCUUAACAAUAAUUCAAGAAAAUGUAGUAUAAUAAGAAGAAAGGACCCUUAUAAUUGACGCCACUUUACAGCUGUGAGCGUGAACAUAAUGUUCAAGAGUGGAGUGUGGUCCAGCAAUAUAAACCCAUCUUGUCAGCAAAGAUUCUUUCUAAACAACUUUAGUCAAUAGUGG
This 35561-nucleotide long non-coding RNA is filed under the name Malus domestica (apple). RNAcentral describes it as "long non-coding RNA (MDOM_LNC001384)". Lineage: Eukaryota; Viridiplantae; Streptophyta; Magnoliopsida; Rosales; Rosaceae. The record is from RNAcentral.